GUAGGGAAUAUUGGGCAAUGGGGGAAACCCUGACCCAGCAACGCCGCGUGAGGGAAGAAGGCCUAACGGUUGUAAACCUCUGUCAUAUGGGAAGAAGGAAUGACAGUACCAUAUGAGGAAGCUCCGGCUAACUACGUGCCAGCAGCCGCGGUAAUACGUAGGGAGCAAGCGUUGUCCGGAAUUACUGGGCGUAAAGGGUGCGUAGGCGGCAUGUUAAGUUAGAUGUCAAAUACCCGGGCUUAACCCGGGGACGCAUCUAAAACUGGCGUGCUUGAGUGCAGGAGAGGAAAGCGGAAUUCCCAGUGUAGCGGUGAAAUGCGUAGAUAUUGGGAGGAACACCAGUGGCGAAGGCGCCUUUCUGGACUGUGUCUGACGCUGAGAUGCGAAAGCCAGGGUAGCGAACGGGAUUAGAUACCCGUGUAGUCC
This 426-nucleotide ribosomal RNA is filed under the name uncultured bacterium. Its description in RNAcentral is "partial 16S ribosomal RNA". It matches the Rfam family "Bacterial small subunit ribosomal RNA", at positions 354 to 796 of the family's 1533-position model. The record is from RNAcentral.